Molecule: long non-coding RNA, 208 nt
Organism: Hippocampus comes (tiger tail seahorse)
Lineage: Eukaryota; Metazoa; Chordata; Actinopteri; Syngnathiformes; Syngnathidae
Exons: 2
Source: RefSeq, a predicted model, not a curated record
ACUGGGCAAUAGUCCGACCAACCAACGGUGCUUUUACGGUCUUCUUGGCUCUUCACACAUGUGAUAUAGUGGACGCGUACGGCUUCAUGACGAGAGACUACGCUAAGUACUCCAACUACUAUUACGAGAAGCAUGACAAGAACCGGGUGAUUUUCUACGCAAAUCACGACUACAUUCUGGAAAUGAAAACCUGGGAGAAGCUGCACAA